RNAcentral lists this ribosomal RNA (491 nucleotides) under uncultured bacterium. Its description in RNAcentral is "partial 16S ribosomal RNA". It matches the Rfam family "Bacterial small subunit ribosomal RNA", at positions 29 to 506 of the family's 1533-position model. The record is from RNAcentral.
AGUGAACGCUGGCGGUAGGCCUAACACAUGCAAGUCGAACGGCAGCACAGUAAGAGCUUGCUCUUACGGGUGGCGAGUGGCGGACGGGUGAGUAAUACAUCGGAAUCUACUUUUUCGUGGGGGAUAACGUAGGGAAACUUACGCUAAUACCGCAUACGACCUACGGGUGAAAGCAGGGGAUCUUCGUACCUUGCUCGAUUGAAUGAGCCGAUGUCGGAUUGGCUAGUUGGCGGGGUAAAGGCCCACCAAGGCGACGAUCCGUAGCUGGUCUGAGAGGAUGAGCAGCCACAAUGGAACUGAGACACGGUCCAGACGCCUACGGGAGGCAGCAGUGGGGAAGAUUGGAGAAUGGGCGCAAGCUUGAGACAGCCAGGCCGAGGGGGUGAAGAAGGCCUUCGGGUUGUAAAGCCCGUUUGGUGGGAAAGAAAAGCAGCAGGUUAAUACCCCGAUGUACGGAGGGUAACCAAAGAAUAAACAGCGACGAACAUCGG